UCCACGGAAGGACAAGAAUUCUGGGAUGCUGGGCCUCAGCAGCUGUUUCUGUUCCAAUUUUUCCUUGUGAUUGCCUAAAUUUCAAAGGCCCUGAUCUGAGAGGGUGUUUAUAAAGCCAUUUCUUCAGGGCAUGGCUGCACUGCACCUUCAGGUCAGACAAGUAAAAGUCCUCAUUCUCUUUUGCAGCCGUGGCAUUCCCACCUCAGCCUGAAGUGACGGCAGCCUCUCCUCAGCACGGCUGCCCCAUCCCAGCCUGGCAGGAGGGUUUUGCCUCCUGUUUGGGCAGGGUGUGUUAUCUGCCAAAAAGGAAGUUCAAAGCACUGAAGGCACAACCCCUCUCACCUCAGUGAGGACACAGCAGGGAGAGCAACACGUUCAUCUUUCUGGUCACGUAUCUUUCAAGAAAUGGAAAUAAAUACUAGGCUAUGAAGUUUUUGCAGAAUACAGUGUUAUUUAGAAGCUGGAAGACUCUUGCCAGGGUCCCCUGCUCCCCUGCAGCCUUGGCGUGGGCGUUGCAUGUUCACAUAAGCUGAUGAGAUAUCUUUAACAUGAAGCAUGACAGCUUGGAUUUUUGAAGAAGGCUGCUGAAGGGCUGAGCUUUUCCUGUUCUCUUUAGAAGGUGAGCUGAACUGCAUUUAGAAGCCUUUAUGUGAUGUUUUAUUAAUCCCAUGAGUCUACUUGCACAAUAUUUAUGUCCUUUGGCUUCGUGACACUUUUAUGGUGACCACACAAGGGACCAUGUUGCUACACACUAGUCAUUUCAGGGUUUGUUCUGCCAGAGAUAUCCCAAGGUUUGUAUUACAUUGCUUUAAGAAUGGCUUUUGGGACACAUGAAACACCUUUUCUUGCAAUCAGUCACACCUUUCAUGUGUGCCUUUACAAAGCUAAUCAGCAGCUGCAUUUGUUUCUUCUCUCCAAAACACCCUUCUCCAUCUUGACCUAGGUGUUCCUUGCAUGAAUAUUCAUAAAUUUGAUAUUAAUUAAGUGUGAGAGAUGUACUCUCUUCUAUUAUCUGAGGUUCUGUCUUCUCUUCAUGUCUGCAGCAUGCUGACUUUAUAAUCUUCCCCCUCAAAGAAGUGAAAGGAUAAAUGAGUAAAUACAGACACUCGUGUAAAAGCUGGUGCCACAUGUUGCCUGGAGACUAAUAGCUGUCAGAGCUAAAAUAGCCAACCUGCUCUGGA
This is a non-coding RNA of Cyanistes caeruleus (blue tit), 1181 nucleotides long. Lineage: Eukaryota; Metazoa; Chordata; Aves; Passeriformes; Paridae. The record is from RefSeq and is a predicted model, not a curated record.